Molecule: ribosomal RNA, 506 nt
Filed under: uncultured bacterium
Lineage: Bacteria
Description: bacterial SSU rRNA
Rfam family: Bacterial small subunit ribosomal RNA
Source: RNAcentral
AUGAACGCUGGCGACAGGCCUAACACAUGCAAGUCGAGGGGCAUCGGGGUGUAGCAAUACGCUGCCGGCGACCGGCGGAUGGGUGAGUAACGCGUAUGCAACCUGCCUUCAGCAGGGGGAUAGCCCGUUGAAAGACGGAUUAAUACCCCGUAACACAGGGGCUCCGCAUGGAGAUUAUUGUUAAAGGGAUGCUUCCUUCGGGGAGUAUUCCGGCUGAAGAUGGGCAUGCGUUCCAUUAGGUAGUUGGUUGAGGUAACGGCUCACCAAGCCUGCGAUGGAUAGGGGAACUGAGAGGUUGGUCCCCCACACUGGUACUGAGACACGGACCAGACUCCUACGGGAGGCAGCAGUGAGGAAUCUUGGUCAAUGGACGGAAGUCUGAACCAGCCAUGUCGCGUGAAGGAGGACGGCCCUAAGGGUUGUAAACUUCUUUUGCAGGGGAAUAAAGUAUUCCACGAGAUGGGAUAUUGCAAGUACGCUGCGAAUAAGGAUCGGCUAACUCCGUG